GACACUGAAAACAAACCAUCAGACAGAUAGUCACUGUAGGUUGCUCUGUUCUUACUGACUUCACCACUUCUUGUCUUCAAAGAUGAAGAUGUUCAGCGUUGCAGUGGCCGUCAUGAUCGUCCUCAUUUGCUCUGAGAGGAGUCCUGCUGUCCCUGUGGCUGAGGUGCCAGAUCUGGAGCAAUGGCCAGCGGCUGCCAGCGAUGAUCUGAUUGCUGUAAAUCAAGAGAUGCCAGUUGAACCAGGGCAGAUGCCAGUUUUAGACAGGAUGAAGCGUGGCUGCAGCCUUUGCUGUGUUCAAACUUCUCGAGGCAGAGCUUGCAUAAGAUGCUGUGAUGGUAUAGACCGUCGGCCCCAUGAACCUAUCACUGUCUGAUAGAUGGAGCAUGUCUCUCUGGAUGGACGUGAAUUCCUUUAUGCUGAUGUUUGAACAUCAGAAGUCUGACAGUCCACUGAGAUGCUACAAAUUCCAGAGUUGCAACCACAUGUAUGAUGUGCUGUGACUGAUGGCAUAAACAUAAAGUUUUCUGACAUGA
Long non-coding RNA from Cheilinus undulatus (humphead wrasse), 533 nucleotides. RefSeq lists it as uncharacterized. The record is from RefSeq and is a predicted model, not a curated record. The transcript has 4 exons. Lineage: Eukaryota; Metazoa; Chordata; Actinopteri; Labriformes; Labridae.